Molecule: long non-coding RNA, 847 nt
Filed under: Lynx pardinus (Iberian lynx)
Lineage: Eukaryota; Metazoa; Chordata; Mammalia; Carnivora; Felidae
Source: RNAcentral
CUUCCUCAUAAUAAUUGUCAAGGUUAGCCAUGUUCUCACAGUCCUCAGAAAACUCACAUUCCUCCAUGCCUUCAUUCAUAUUACAGUGAACAAAGACAUUCUUGGCAUACAUCAGGUCAAACUUGUGCUCCACGCCAGCCCAGACCUCAAGAAUGGCUCUGGUGUUGCUCAGCAUGCACACAAUUUGCUGUACAUUGAACAGGUCUCCUGCACCAGGUAGCACAGUGGGAGGCUAUUAAUUAAUGACAAUUUUGAAGGAGUGGGGCAACAGUACACUAACUGAAUGGUACACUUGAUCUUGAUGGUGGCAAUGACAGCAAUGAUAUCUUUGGAAACCAUGUCACCAUGACACAACAGGCAAGAACCCAUGUAUUUACCAUGGUGAGGAUCACAUUUCACCAUCUGGUGGGCUGGCUCAAAGCAUGAAUUGAUUUCUGCUACAGAAAGCUUUUAAUGGUAGGCUUUCUCAGAAUAGAUGAUUGGAACAUAUGUGGCCAGAGUAAAGUGGAUGCAGGGAUAGGGCACCAGGUUAGUCUGGAAUCUGUAAGAUCAACAUUCAGAGCUCCAUCAAAUCUGAGGGAAACAGUGAUGAAGAACAUAAUUUGACCUAUAAACCUAUUUAGGUUAUUGUAGGUUGGGUGUUCAAUAUUGAGGUUUCUAUGACAGAUGUCAUAGAUAGCCUCAUUGUCUACCAUGAAGGCACAAUCAGAAUGCUGCGGGUAAUGAGGAUGGAGUUGUAGGGCUCAACUACAGCUGUGGAAGCCUGAGGGGGGAGGUAAAUUGACAACUCCAGCUUAAACUUCCUGCCAUAAUUAACAGAGAGAUGUUCCAUCAGCAGGGAGGUGAA